This 711-nucleotide long non-coding RNA is filed under the name Cricetulus griseus (Chinese hamster). Its description in RNAcentral is "lncRNA (ENSCGRG00015039057.1)". The record is from RNAcentral. Lineage: Eukaryota; Metazoa; Chordata; Mammalia; Rodentia; Cricetidae.
UGAACCUGGGUCCUCUGGAAGAACAACCAAUGCUCUUAACUGCCUAGACAUCUCUCCACCCCACCCCAAAUCUUUUAAGGUAACCAUUAUUAAAAGUUUUUUUGUUUUGUUUUGUUGUUUUUUGUUUUGUUUUUUGUCUUUUUUCUUGGUUGUUGUUUUGCGACAGGGUUUCUCUGUGUAACAGUCCCAGUUGUCUUGGAACUCACUUUGUAGUACAGGCAGGCCUCGAACUCACAGAGAUCUGCCUGCCUCUGCCAUGUAUUUAAAAAAUCACUAAAAUAGUCUUUUGGUGUGUCUUUUUUGCUUUUAAGUGCUGAGCCUCUGGGUACUCUGAGGCAUGGGAUGGGAAUCGGCCUAAUGCAGCGUGAACUGUGUAGGAAGUUCAGAUGGCAAUGUGCCUAUGUGCUCAUCACAGAGGCCUCUGUCCAGCACAGCAGAAAGGACAGUGCCACCGAGCUGGAGAAGACUGCUUCACUUUGGCUGGACUGCUGAGACAGUGUUCCUCUUCAGAAAGGCGAGUGGGCCUCACCAGGCCUGGAGCACAGUGGUCUCACGUGGCAUUAUUGGUAGUUACUGAAAUGCUCCAGAAAAACCUGCCUGAGAAGAUGGAGAGUCUCAGAAGAGCCUUGAGAAGUGAGCACACAUCUGUGCCUGGCCGCUGGGCUGGGUCUCCCCAGGAGGGCAGUGACCAUGUGACCAUGGACCCCCUCA